RNAcentral lists this ribosomal RNA (460 nucleotides) under uncultured bacterium. Its description in RNAcentral is "partial 16S ribosomal RNA". It matches the Rfam family "Bacterial small subunit ribosomal RNA", at positions 338 to 795 of the family's 1533-position model. The record is from RNAcentral.
CCUACGGGAGGCAGCAGUGAGGAAUAUUGGUCAAUGGACGAGAGUCUGAACCAGCCAAGUAGCGUGAAGGAUGACUGCCCUAUGGGUUGUAAACUUCUUUUAUAUGGGAGUAAAAUGUUCCACGUGUGGGAUUUUGUAUGUACCAUAUGAAUAAGGAUCGGCUAACUCCGUGCCAGCAGCCGCGGUAAUACGGAGGAUCCGAGCGUUAUCCGGAUUUAUUGGGUUUAAAGGGAGCGUAGGUGGAUUGUUAAGUCAGUUGUGAAAGUUUGCGGCUCAACCGUAAAAUUGCAGUUGAAACUGGCAGUCUUGAGUACAGUAGAGGUGGGCAGAAUUCGUGGUGUAGCGGUGAAAUGCUUAGAUAUCACGAAGAACUCCGAUUGCGAAGGCAGUUCACUGGACUGCAACUGACACUGAGGCUCGAAAGUGUGGGUAUCAAACAGGAUUAGAUACCCCUGUAGUC